GAUGAAGAACGCAGUGAAAUGCGAUAAGUAAUGUGAAUUGCAGAAUUCAGUGAAUCAUCGAGUCUUUGAACGCACAUUGCGCCCCCUGGUAUUCCGGGGGGCAUGCCUGUCCGAGCGUCAUUGCUGCCCUCAAGCACGGCUUGUGUGUUGGGCCCCGUCCCCUCCCCCGGGGACGGGCCCGAAAGGCAGCGGCGGCACCGCGUCCGAUCCUCGAGCGUAUGGGGCUUUGUCACCCGCUCUGUAGGCCCGGCCGGCGCCAGCCGACACCCAACUUUUAUUUCUAAGGUUGACCUCGGAUCAGGUAGGGAUACCCGCUGAACUUAAGCAUAUCAAUAAGCGGAGGA
RNAcentral lists this unclassified non-coding RNA (344 nucleotides) under soil metagenome. RNAcentral's name for it is "partial contains 5.8S ribosomal RNA, internal transcribed spacer 2, and large subunit ribosomal RNA". The stretch from base 1 to 120 matches the Rfam family "5.8S ribosomal RNA", at positions 35 to 154 of the family's 154-position model. The record is from RNAcentral.